This 303-nucleotide ribosomal RNA is filed under the name uncultured bacterium. Its description in RNAcentral is "bacterial SSU rRNA". It matches the Rfam family "Bacterial small subunit ribosomal RNA", at positions 355 to 674 of the family's 1533-position model. The record is from RNAcentral.
UGGGGAAUAUUGCACAAUGGGGGAAACCCUGAUGCAGCAACGCCGCGUGAGUGAGGAAGUAUUUCGGUAUGUAAAGCUCUAUCAGCAGGGAAUAGAAAAGAAGGUACCUGAAAAAGAAGCCCCGGCUAACUACGUGCCAGCAGCCGCGGUAAUACGUAGGGGGCAAGCGUUAUCCGGAUUUACUGGGUGUAAAGGGAGCGUAGACGGAAAGGCAAGUCAGAAGUGAAAGCCCAAGGCUCAACCAUGGGACUGCUUUUGAAACUGUCAAACUAGAGUACGGGAGAGGUAAGAGGAAUUCCUAGU